RNAcentral lists this ribosomal RNA (653 nucleotides) under uncultured bacterium. RNAcentral describes it as "bacterial SSU rRNA". It matches the Rfam family "Bacterial small subunit ribosomal RNA", at positions 202 to 842 of the family's 1533-position model. The record is from RNAcentral.
AAAAGGUGGCUAUGCUACCGCUUUUGGAUGGGCCCGCGGCGCAUUAGCUAGUUGGUGGGGUAAAGGCUUACCAAGGCAAUGAUGCGUAGCCGAACUGAGAGGUUGAUCGGCCACAUUGGGACUGAGACACGGCCCAAACUCCUACGGGAGGCAGCAGUAGGGAAUCUUCCACAAUGGGCGAAAGCCUGAUGGAGCAACGCCGCGUGGGUGAAGAAGGUCUUCGGAUCGUAAAACCCUGUUGUUAGAGAAGAAAGUGCGUGAGAGUAACUGUUCACGUUUCGACGGUAUCUAACCAGAAAGCCACGGCUAACUACGUGCCAGCAGCCGCGGUAAUACGUAGGUGGCAAGCGUUAUCCGGAUUUAUUGGGCGUAAAGGGAACGCAGGCGGUCUUUUAAGUCUGAUGUGAAAGCCUUCGGCUUAACCGGAGUAGUGCAUUGGAAACUGGGAGACUUGAGUGCAGAAGAGGAGAGUGGAACUCCAUGUGUAGCGGUGAAAUGCGUAGAUAUAUGGAAGAACACCAGUGGCGAAAGCGGCUCUCUGGUCUGUAACUGACGCUGAGGUUCGAAAGCGUGGGUAGCAAACAGGAUUAGAUACCCUGGUAGUCCACGCCGUAAACGAUGAGUGCUAAGUGUUGGAGGGUUUCCGCCCUUCA